GGCAUGUCUAAGUUUAAAAGCAUUUUUAACUUGAAACUGCGAACGGCUCAUUANAAACCAGCUUAUCGUCCAUUUGAUAGUCUUUCUUACAAGGAUACUUGUGGCAAAUCUAGAAAUAAUACUUGCAUCAAAAGGCGACUUCGGAAGCCUUGCAUUUGUUUGAUUUAAACCAAUACCUUUCGGGGUUUUUGAGGUGAUUCAGAACAACUUAGCGAAUCGCAGUGCCCUUGUGGCGGCGAUGAAUCAUUCGAGUUUCUGCCCCAUCAGGUUUCAUUCCGAAGGUAUUGUCUUCGGAAGCCAGUCACGGGUGACGGAGAAUCAGGGUUCGAUUCCGGAGAGGGAGCCUUAGAGACGGCUACCACAUCCAAGGAAGGCAGCAGGGGCGUAAAUUACUCAAUACCAAUACGGUGAAGUAGUGNNGAGAAAUAUCAUUAAGGAGCCCUUCGGGUUUUUUAAAUGAAAUGAGAGCAAUCUAAAAACCUCAUCGAGGAUCAAUUGGAGGGCAAGUCUGGUGCCAGCAGCCGCGGUAAUUCCAGCUCCAAUAGCGAAUACUAAUUCUGCUGCAGUUAAAAAAGCUCGUAGUUGAACCUCUGGUAGGGCAGAUCCGGCCGUUGGGAUGAUUCCCUUUGUUGCUGUGUGUCUUGUCUGG
Molecule: ribosomal RNA, 649 nt
Filed under: uncultured eukaryote
Lineage: Eukaryota
Description: SSU rRNA
Rfam family: Eukaryotic small subunit ribosomal RNA
Source: RNAcentral